UUGGAGGGCAAGUCUGGUGCCAGCAGCCGCGGUAAUUCCAGCUCCAAUAGCGUAUAUUAAAGUUGUUGCAGUUAAAAAGCUCGUAGUUGAAUUUCGGGAUCAAUAUGCUGGUCGUGCCUUUGGUACGUACUGGUAUUAUUGGUUUCUCCUUUCUGAUGAAUCAUGAUGUCAUUAAUUUGGUGUCAUGGGGAAUCAGGACUGUUACUUUGAAAAAAUUAGAGUGUUUAAAGCAGGCUUACGCUUGAAUACAUUAGCAUGGAAUAAUGAAAUAGGACGUUUAAUUCUAUUUUGUUGGUUUCUAGGAUUGACGUAAUGAUUAAUAGGGAUAGUUGGGGGCAUUAGUAUUCAAUUGUCAGAGGUGAAAUUCUUGGAUUUAUUGAAGACUAACUACUGCAAAAGCAUUUGCCAAGGAUGUUUUCAUUAAUCAAGAACGAAAGUAGGGAGGUGUAAGACGAGUACUAGAGUACGUACCGUAAGUACUUAACCUAACUAAACUAAAUAGUCCGACCGUAACGGUAAGGUACGUAACGUAGUAGUAGUUAAGUUUU
Molecule: ribosomal RNA, 548 nt
Filed under: uncultured Glomeraceae
Lineage: Eukaryota; Fungi; Glomeromycota; Glomeromycetes; Glomerales; Glomeraceae
Description: bacterial SSU rRNA
Rfam family: Eukaryotic small subunit ribosomal RNA
Source: RNAcentral